This 106-nucleotide small nuclear RNA is filed under the name Zalophus californianus (California sea lion). The record is from RNAcentral. Lineage: Eukaryota; Metazoa; Chordata; Mammalia; Carnivora; Otariidae.
GGGCUCACUUUGGCAGCACAUAUACUAAAAUUGGAACAAUACAGAGAUGAUUAGCAUGGCCCCUGCAUAAGGAUGACACACAAAUUCAUGAAGGUUCCAUAUUUUU